UACGGGGAGGCAGCAGUGGGGAAUAUUGCACAAUGGGGGAAGCCCUGAUGCAGCCAUGCCGCGUGUGUGAAGAAGGCCUUCGGGUUGUAAAGCACUUUCAGUAGGGAGGAAGGUAGUGUAGUUAACACCUGCACUAUUUGACGUUACCUACAGAAGAAGCACCGGCUAACUCCGUGCCAGCAGCCGCGGUAAUACGGAGGGUGCGAGCGUUAAUCGGAAUUACUGGGCGUAAAGCGCAUGCAGGCGGCCUGUUAAGUCAGAUGUGAAAGCCCGGGGCUUAACCUCGGAAUUGCAUUUGAAACUGGCAGGCUAGAGUCUUGUAGAGGGGGGUAGGAAUUUCAGGUGUAGCGGUGAAAUGCGUAGAGAUCUGAAGGAAUACCAGUGGCGAAGGCGGCCCCCUGGACAAAGACUGACGCUCAGAUGCGAAAGCGUGGGGAGCAAACAGGAUUAGAUACCCUGGUAG
This 463-nucleotide ribosomal RNA is filed under the name uncultured bacterium. RNAcentral describes it as "bacterial SSU rRNA". It matches the Rfam family "Bacterial small subunit ribosomal RNA", at positions 340 to 793 of the family's 1533-position model. The record is from RNAcentral.